Long non-coding RNA from Helianthus annuus (common sunflower), 1169 nucleotides. RefSeq lists it as uncharacterized. Lineage: Eukaryota; Viridiplantae; Streptophyta; Magnoliopsida; Asterales; Asteraceae. The transcript has 5 exons. The record is from RefSeq and is a predicted model, not a curated record.
UUGGAUCUAGAUUGAGAAAAAAAAACCUUUGGACAAAAGUUGCAAAACUGGCCAAACCUCUCCUCAGGGACGAAAAUGUCAUUUUACUCUUUCUUUUAUUCGUAUUUGACAAUGUUUAAAAAUUUGGUAUGUGGUGGGUUUGUGUAUCUAUUCGCUAAUAUAAAUAGUACAAACACAUACAUAUGCUCUUUACACGUGUCUUAUUAUAAUGAGUUGCUUAACUAAGUUCAAGUCCUUACUAACCUCAUUUUCUUGAACGUAUCCGAGUCGUUAAAAGCAUCAAUAAAAUCAGCUUCAUUGGAAGAUGCUCGCCACAUGGCACACAGUUGUGAUAGACUCCUCCAAGAAGUUGAGAGUCAGGCAGUGGAAGUAUUGAGGCGACAAACAAAGGUCUGAGAUCCUACUCCAGAGAGUGCGUUAAAACUUAAAAACAUGGAAGCAUGGUUAAGUGAGCUCCGAUCUUCGAUGAUCACACUUCAGAAAGAAGCAAUCUUCGCGAUGUUGUCGGUAGAGGAACAACAACAACAAAUAACCUUGCAAAAGCUUCUUAUGGUAGUGGAUACCGAAGGUCUUAUCGCCGCCACGUUUUGUCUAUUCUAGAGGAGCUACAUGCUGAGCUGAUUUUGGCAAAGGUUAUUGUUCCAUCUGGCAACGUCACUCAACGUGUACACAACGAAAAUAAAGAUUAUGAUUAUUUUAUUAGAAAGGUCAUUCAUCCAUUUGAUGUUCAAGCAAACGGUGAGCUGAGCUUAAAUGUUGAUGAUUAUGUUAUAGUUCGCCAGGUGCCGCUCUGUUGCUACGUAUGAUAUUAAGUAAUGCAAAAUCAGAAGGUCGGGUGAUGGGUCAAAAGGGGUAAUUAAUAACAUCAGCCAAAAAGGGUCGGUCAAGUUCACACAUAAAAACUAAUGCGUUAAAUAUGAUCACAAAAACUACAUUGCUACAAUAUAACAGUUAUAAUCUUAUCGAUUAGUGUAUAAAGAACUUGGAAUCACAAAAGAAGUUCAAGAGUAAGUAAAUAUUGAUGUAGUAGUGGAGAUUAAAUGCUUAUAUGUCAAAUUUAGGGCCACCAUUUUUGUAUAUGUGAUUUGUAGUUAUGACUAUAUGAAAAAAGAACUUACGUAAAAAAUACUGUGUAACCGGCCGCAACGCGGCGAGUACUUUUCUAGUUA